UACAGAGGGCGCGAGCGUUGUCCGGAAUCACUGGGCGUAAAGGGCGCGUAGGUGGCACUAUAAGGCCGUGGUGAAAGUCUGGGGCUCAACCCCAGAUCUGCCGCGGCGACUGUAGAGCUUGGGCACCGUAGAGGCAGAUGGAAUUCCGGGUGUAGCGGUGGAAUGCGUAGAGAUCCGGAAGAACACCUGUGGCGAAAGCGGCGCACUGGACCAUAACUGACGCUGAGGCGCGAAAGCUAGGGGAGCAAACAGG
This 253-nucleotide ribosomal RNA is filed under the name uncultured bacterium. RNAcentral's name for it is "partial 16S ribosomal RNA". It matches the Rfam family "Bacterial small subunit ribosomal RNA", at positions 524 to 776 of the family's 1533-position model. The record is from RNAcentral.